AGGCGAGUAGCUCAGUUGGUAGAGUCCUGGUCUCCAAAACCAGUUGUCGCGGGUUCGAGUCCUGCCUCGCCUG
Molecule: transfer RNA, 73 nt
Organism: Treponema saccharophilum DSM 2985
Lineage: Bacteria; Pseudomonadati; Spirochaetota; Spirochaetia; Treponematales; Treponemataceae
Rfam family: tRNA
About the family: Transfer RNA (tRNA) molecules are approximately 80 nucleotides in length. Their secondary structure includes four short double-helical elements and three loops (D, anti-codon, and T loops). Further hydrogen bonds mediate the characteristic L-shaped molecular structure. tRNAs have two regions of fundamental functional importance: the anti-codon, which is responsible for specific mRNA codon recognition, and the 3' end, to which the tRNAs corresponding amino acid is attached (by aminoacyl-tRNA synthetases). tRNAs cope with the degeneracy of the genetic code in two manners: having more than one tRNA (with a specific anti-codon) for a particular amino acid; and 'wobble' base-pairing, i.e. permitting non-standard base-pairing at the 3rd anti-codon position.
Source: Rfam